ACUAGUGAUUGAAGUCGUAACAAGGUUUCCGUUAGCAUUUACCAGCGGAUAAAAGUCAGUAUGAAAGUACUUGGCUAGUCGGUAUCAGCUCGAUACGUGAGAGCUGAUAGUUGGCAACACUGUCGAAUUGCGGGAAGUUUCUUAAACUCAAAGCUACCAACCUGAUGUGGAAACACAUUCAGGGGCCGGGGUAAUGACCUAGGGUAUGGUAAAAACGCUUUGAGAUUGAAUAAUCCGCAGCCAAGCUCCUAAGUGCUGUAAGCAUAUGGAGAAGGUCCAGAGACUAAGUGGCAGUGGGCUGUUGUUGCAAAUGAGAGCAACUCCAGCUUAAGAUAGAGUCCGGCCCUACCGAGAGGUAGCCUUGGGAUGAAAGGCUUAACCAGCCCAGAGCUCAAGGAGCUGAUUCAAACAUUGCGUAUUGAAUUAGCUGGACCAACCGAGGUGAACCUGCGGAAGGAUCAUUGAAUUAUCAAAACCGCAAUGUGAACCUGUCUGUCCCACGCUUCCAUGCAGCGCGGUGCUUAGCACUGGCGGGCUUUGGGAUUGCUCCUGCAAGGGGGCUUUCCUGGGGUUAUCUGCGCGGUUGCGUGUUUUUUUUCACACCCAGUGUAACCACUGAGUUGUGCCAAUUUACUUUGGUGCAGCCAAACGAACCUCUGAAGAAAGGCAGUCAUACACUGACAGCCAUAAACGAAAACAACUCUCAACAACGGAUAUCUUGGCUCUCGCAACGAUGAAGAACGCAGCGAAAUGCGAUACGUAGUGUGAAUUGCAGAAUUCCGUGAACCAUCGAAUCUUUGAACGCAUAUUGCGCUCGAGCCUUCGGGCGAGAGCAUGCCUGCCUCAGCGUCGGUUUACACCCUCACAGCUCUAUCCAUGCGGUAGCGCCAAGCCUUCGGGUUUGCAGCUGUGGAUCUGGCUUUCUCAACCAACCUUGUUGUUGGCUUGGGUUGGCUGAAGUGCAGAGGCUUGAGCAAGGACCCGUUAUGGGCAUCAACUGGAUAGGUAGUGCCAACCCCUGUGGUUGUCUACACGAAGUUGUUGCUCGUGGACCUUGCUGGGGGCCAGCAGGAUACACGCUUUAUUGCGUGACCUAAACCUUCGACCUGAGCUCAGGCAAGACUACGGACUGAACUUAAGCAUAUCAAUAAGUCCAGGAAAAGAAACUAACCAGGA
RNAcentral lists this ribosomal RNA (1176 nucleotides) under Ankistrodesmus sp. SP2-15. Its description in RNAcentral is "eukaryotic LSU rRNA". The stretch from base 699 to 852 matches the Rfam family "5.8S ribosomal RNA". The record is from RNAcentral. Lineage: Eukaryota; Viridiplantae; Chlorophyta; Chlorophyceae; Sphaeropleales; Selenastraceae.